CAUUUGCCAGGAAGGUGAAACCGCGAAUGGCUCAUUAAAUCAGUCAUGGUUCCUUAGAACAUACCAUCCUUCUUGGAUAACUGUGGUAAUUCUAGAGCUAAUACAUGCAACAGAGCUCCGACCCUUGUGGAACGAGCGCUUUUAUUAGACCAAAGACCAAUCGGAGCUUCGGCCCCGUCAGUCUGUGGUGACUCUGGAUAACUUUUAGCGGAUCGCACGGUCAUCGUGCCGGCGACUCCUCUUUCAAAUGUCUGCCUUAUCAACUUUCGAUGGUAGGUUAAUUGCCUACCAUGGUUGUAACGGGUGACGGGGAAUCAGGGUUCGAUUCCGGAGAGGGAGCCUGAGAAACGGCUACCACAUCCAAGGAAGGCAGCAGGCACGCAAAUUACCCACUCCCAGUACGGGGAGGUAGUGACGAAAAAUAACAAUGCGGGACUCUUACGAGGCCCCGUAAUUGGAAUGAGUCCACUUUAAAUCCUUUAACGAGGACCUAUUGGAGGGCAAGUCUGGUGCCAGCAGCCGCGGUAAUUCCAGCUCCAAUAGCGUAUACUAAAGUUGUUGCGGUUAAAAAGCUCGUAGUUGGAUGUCAGUCGCGGGCGGGCGGUCCACCGUUUUGGUGGUUUACUGCUCGUCCCGCGACCUACUGGCCGGCCUCCCCCGCUAUGCUCUUCACCGGGUGUGGCGGGUGGCCGGAAAGUUUACUUUGAAAAAAUUAGAGUGCUCUAAGCAGGUGCUUGCCGCCUGAAUAACACAGCAUGGAAUAAUGGAAUAGGACCUCGGUUCUAUUUUGUUGGUUUUCGGAAUUCCGAGGUAAUGAUUAAUAGGGACAGACGGGGGCA
Molecule: ribosomal RNA, 839 nt
Filed under: Tylopus sp. 1 ADN-2017
Lineage: Eukaryota; Metazoa; Arthropoda; Diplopoda; Polydesmida; Paradoxosomatidae
Description: SSU rRNA
Rfam family: Eukaryotic small subunit ribosomal RNA
Source: RNAcentral